CUAGAUCCUUAAGGUCAACCAAUCCUAAAGGUCUCUAGGUCCAUUCCUAUUCUUUCACUAUUGGCUCUGAUACCAACCUAUCUGUCACGCCCCGAGACCGAUGCCAAUUUGGCCCGACCCGAGCACGUCAAACAGACGCCGAACGGACAGAGUUUCCCCUAUCCGCCCAAGGCUCAUCACACGUACAUUUUCAUCGAAAGAGAAAAGCACUAGCGGAAACAUACACAAACGGCUUACACGAGGGUAAGCAGUAGCCAUUAGUGAAAGAUAGGAAAACUAAACUUCUACACAAGUAAUAUAAUUCAUUUUAGAUCAUAUACAUUGCAUCCAUCUCUUACAUUUAGAAUUCUUUGCAUUUCAUUACAUAAUUCCAUCAUUUCUUUCUUACAUCACAUUUACCUCAAAAUACACAUCGCAUUCUUUUCUUUACAUCACUAAUCAUCAAGUACAAAAGAUGAUAAAAGGGUGUCUACUAACAAAAUGUAACCCAACAUUGGUGGCCUCUGACUAAGGCGCGAUACCUUUACCUCGGUCGCUCGCCGGCUCGCUCGGUCCCGGCUCUGUGGAAAUAGUGGGGUGAGAACUACAACAAAGUUCCCAGUGGGUUCGGCCUCAACAUCACCGACUUUCCCACUAGGACUAACUCAGGCAUAAUAGAAAGGAUGAGUAGGAUAUAGUAACCAAUCUAUAACAUGAUGCUAAUAUGCCUGAACAAGUAACAAGAAAUAUGCUCAACAUUAAAUAAAUGCAGGUUAUGCAUGUUCUUUAGUUCUUUACACUUUACACUUUGUUCUUUGC
Molecule: long non-coding RNA, 798 nt
Filed under: Ananas comosus (pineapple)
Lineage: Eukaryota; Viridiplantae; Streptophyta; Magnoliopsida; Poales; Bromeliaceae
Description: long non-coding RNA (ACOM_LNC036582)
Source: RNAcentral